CUUCUUUCAUGAAAGUGAUGCCAAGGUGGUGGGAAAAUCCAUUCGGGAUCGUGUUAAUCAGAUCAAGAAGUCACGGGAGCGCAGACAGCAGCAGCUUCUUCAACAGCAGCAAGGAUUUGAAGAACGGAGAGACCCCUCUCUCAUCUCCUACACUUUCUCUCACCCUUCGGGCUACUCCUCUCUAGGGCCAGGUGGACAGUCUGAGGACAGUCAUGAUUUGGACCAAUAUGUCAGACAACACUGUAUUAUGAGUGGGACAACCCUCAGUCUGACAGGGGAGAGUCUUGGUUCAGCCAGUUGUGAGUCUUAUGCCAGUGGACUGAGCCAGGUUUACUAUCAGCAGGGGGAUUCAUUCACUACACCUGCAAGUCAUACUUCGGCCGUGGUUCAUCCUCAGUUGCCCACAGUGGGAGAAAGCGGCAGUGUCGCAAAUGUCCCCAUUGUUCAGGGAGAAGGGACAUUUCUCCAACAAAGCACAUUGAUUCCACAGGUAUCAGCAAGUGUACCGCAACAAUACUUUCAGGUGAAAAAGGAAGCCACUAACUUAAAGUAUGCCCAUUUUAAUGUAUUAAUUACCUAAUCGCUCUUUUCA
Molecule: long non-coding RNA, 592 nt
Filed under: Neogobius melanostomus (round goby)
Lineage: Eukaryota; Metazoa; Chordata; Actinopteri; Gobiiformes; Gobiidae
Description: lncRNA (ENSNMLG00000001879.1)
Source: RNAcentral